CAACCCUUGUCCUUAGUUACCAGCACGUUAUGGUGGGCGACUCUAAGGAGGCUGCCGGUGCAAACCGGAGGAAGGUGGGGAUGACGUCAAGUCAUCAUGGCCCUUACGGCCUGGGCUACACACGUGCUACAAUGGUCGGUACAAAGGGUUGCCAAGCCGCGAGGUGGAGCUAAUCCCAUAAAACCGAUCGUAGUCCGGAUCGCAGUCUGCAACUCGACUGCGUGAAGUCGGAAUCGCUAGUAAUCGUGAAUUAGAAUGUCACGGUGAAUACGUUCCCGGGCCUU
This 284-nucleotide ribosomal RNA is filed under the name uncultured Pseudomonas sp. RNAcentral describes it as "partial 16S ribosomal RNA". It matches the Rfam family "Bacterial small subunit ribosomal RNA", at positions 1099 to 1382 of the family's 1533-position model. Lineage: Bacteria; Pseudomonadati; Pseudomonadota; Gammaproteobacteria; Pseudomonadales; Pseudomonadaceae. The record is from RNAcentral.